This 253-nucleotide ribosomal RNA is filed under the name uncultured bacterium. RNAcentral's name for it is "partial 16S ribosomal RNA". It matches the Rfam family "Bacterial small subunit ribosomal RNA", at positions 524 to 776 of the family's 1533-position model. The record is from RNAcentral.
UACGGGGGGGGCAAGCGUUAUUCUGAAUUAUUGGGCGUAAAGGGCGCGUAGGCGGCCUGGCAAGUGGAAGGUGAAAUCCCUCGGCUUAACCGAGGAACUGCCUCCCAAACUGCUUGGCUUGAGACCGGGAGAGGUGAGUGGAAUUCCCAGUGUAGCGGUGAAAUGCGUAGAUAUUGGGAGGAACACCAGUGGCGAAGGCGGCUCACUGGACCGGUACUGACGCUGAUGCGCGAAGGCGUGGGGAGCGAACGGG